Molecule: long non-coding RNA, 1010 nt
Filed under: Sus scrofa (pig)
Lineage: Eukaryota; Metazoa; Chordata; Mammalia; Artiodactyla; Suidae
Description: lncRNA (ENSSSCG00025075863.1)
Source: RNAcentral
GCCUCUCCUGCCUGCCCUUCCCCCUCGUACGAGCGCCAGCAGCUCUGCGCUCGCUACCGAGGCCGCCGGGGACCUCCAGACUCCGAGGAAAGAGAGGCAGGACGGUGCUGGGGCAAGACAUUGCCGUCCGCGAAGGCUGAAGGUCCCGACUGGUUCGCCGAUCCCCAGGUGCCCAAGUUUCAGCGCCAGAGAUGCCCUGGAUGAGGUCCCUUCUUUCAGGGACCCCCAGAAUUGAGGCCAGUCUCCCCUGGCUGCUUUUCCCGGCCCUGAACCCAACCCUCACUCUUACCUCUCCUCGCUCAAAUCACCACCACCAGCAGCACCACCACCUAAAAACCCCAAGCAGAUGGUGUCGAACUGGUAUGCCCGCUCUCUAAGGAUGAAAGUGGCGUGGGAGUCAAGAUUCUAUAAGCAUUCACAGCUACCCCAGGAGAAACUGCAGCUACUGGGACUAUUAGCCAAAGUGCUUCCCUGGCAUUACACCAGCCACCGUGCUAGAGGCCCUGCAGAAUACCCAAAGACCCCUGUUCUGAUGGUGGCCCCAGAGACACUCUGGAGUAGCAAUCAUUGAAUGAUUGACAGCAGGGCCUCCCCUCCAUACCAAGCAAGCUGGCAACAAACUCACCAAUCCCUUCGAACCACCGCUACCUGCAAGGCUUCUGACGAAGCGAUAGAAAUUCUUUGAGGAUGUCAACAGGCAUGACCAUAAAGGGGAAUAGGUGCUUAUAAAGCAUCAUUAAUUAUGACAGCCAAGGAGUUCCUGUCAUGGCGCAGUGGUUAAUGUAUCCGACUAGGAACCAUGAGUUUGCGGGUUCGAUCCCUGGCCUCACUCAGUGGGUUAAGGAUCCGGCGUUGCCGUGAGCUGUAGAGUAGGUUGCAGACGCGGCUCAGAUCCUGCGUUGCUGUGGCUGUGGUGUAGGCUGGCAGCUACAGCUCCAAUCUGACCCCUAGCCUGGGAACUUCCAUAUGCCGCAGGAGCAAGUCAAGAAAAGGCAAAAAGACAAAAAAAA